GGUCGCCUCCUAAAUAGUACCCUAUGUGCUGCUGCUUCACGAAAGCGAGGUACCCGAAGGCUGCAAUGCUGCCUCUGUGCUCCUCCAUGCUAGAAGGACGUCCUGAACGCCUCACCGGUCCCACCAGACCGUGAUUUCCACCAGACACACCACGUUUUCUCUUCCCGUACAGGUGGGACCGUGGCCCGUUUGACCCCGGAGCCCUGGCACGCGGUCCAGGCUGAGGUCACGAGUGUCGAAGUCAUGGGACUAUUAUGAUGUCCGACGGCACAACAGCAGCGACACGGUGCCCGGGGUUAUACCCAAUGCUGAGAGGUUGUCUGUGUCUUCGGAUUGUCUGGGUAGGUCUUGAAAUGCAGGCUUUGAUGUAUUCUGUUGCUUUCUUGCUUUCCUGGUUCAGGCAGAAGGGCCAACCAGGUCACUCUAAGUCCAUCUUAAACCAAAGAAGAUGGGUCGGUUAUCAGCGGAGAAUUAUAACGUAGCUGAAACAGUGGCACAGAGCUCUAACUAGUAUAUUGUGAUGCUACUGGUCUUCUUACAAGUUGUGUGUCCUCAGGAUGGUAGAGGAAUGAAAGAGACAAGCCAAGAGUUGGUAUGGGGGAGCCAUAGUGGAGAAGGACAUGAACUAUUUCAUGGGAGAUGAUUGAAACGGAAGAGGACCGUUGAGAUAGGGUUCAUGUUCUACCUACUGCAACAGCCUUUCUCCCCCUGACGUCUAUAUGCAUCUCAGAGGUUGGGUAGGAAGGAAUUUUUCUUUUACACAGAGGAGUAAACUGGGCAUGGGGAGGUAUGGGAAGCAAUGGUGGUGGAUCCUACACAUAGAUCAAAGGAGGCUUCCUAUUAAUAACAGCCCAUUCUUAGGGCUGGGCAGUUAAAGAGGGGAGGUAUGCUAGCUUGGAAUGAUGAUGGACCAGAGUCAUGGCUUUGGGAAGGACAAAGACUUCAUACCCAAGUUUAACAAGCAUUUUGUUUCCAUCGAUGACUGGGGAAAACAUUUCAGAUAAUCAUUUGAGACAAUAGUUUCUGCCACGUAGAAAAGAGGGAAUCUGAGUAUUAAGUCCCAUGAAGGAUGUUAAUCACUUUCUGGGAUAACAAGGAAAUUCAGGUAAAAGGCACCAGUGUUCCUUUCUAGAGCUGGCUAGAAGUUUUACAGCAUUUUGAGGUCAGUCAUUUGAGGGAUGCGGAUUUUAAAGUUUUGUUGGGUAGGGUAAACACACAUAGCGCUUUGUUGCUCUUAAAUCCCAUUAAAAUAACAGGAGCAAGACAACUUGACUUGAAGACCACUUCUCCAUUCUCAUUUCCUCUUUCCAUCGGCACUUUGCGGGAAUCCUAAGGACAAAGUCAUCUAAAUGUCAAGACCACAGUUGCUCAAGGAGGGUCUGCUAAGUCGCCAAACCACAUGCAUAGGUGGGACAAAUAGGACCGAAAUGUUUGCAAGGACAGUUGUGGUCACCCGUUUCUGGCCCCCUCUUUUCCAAACAAGAUGUGAAACUUCAUCAAUUCUUGUUGACCAGCAUCAUCACCAAAGAUAAAUUAAUGUGAUCCCCUAGUACAAUGUGUCCAUGGAGCUCUUUUAUUUUCUUCCAUAAUUCUGUCAUUUGUAUAAUUCUCCACCAAUAAAUUAGGGAGGGUAGAAAAUCUCCUUCAAAUACAGGGGAGUAGGAAUCAUUGUUCCUGUGAUUCUCAAUGCACUUAAAUCUUGGCAGUUGAGGUCUGAAGAUGGUUGUGGAAAAUAUACACAGGCAGUCGUUGACACGGCCGGGAUGUACGCGAAAGCAAUCGCUUAGUAUGUGGGGAAAAAUGGCCAAAACACAAUUCUCUAAGUAUGGGGUUUUUGAAACAAUGCAUUAAAUUCACAGUGUAUUUUCAGCUUUCAUGUAUCAAAAUGUUGGUGUAAUUUUAUUGAUCUAAAAUAUCAAACUACUUUAGAAAAAUGAAUUAUUUAGGCUAUAUGUUUUGAUUUUCCUUGCUCGUGAAAAUAGGUUUUAUCUGAGUUUUUCUAUCAUGUCUCAGAAUUACAAUAAUUUUGUCUUUAAAGGAAAAUAAUCUUUAUACCAUAAAAUAACGGAUGGAUAACCAAGGCAUGUGGUAGUCUGUCUCAGGCUUCUUUCAGAAAAUGAGUAAAAUUACUGAAAAUUGUCCUGUAAUGUGUAGCCUAGACUUGGGCUGAAAAAGGCAAUACUUUAUUCUUCCUCUGUGGAAUUUAUGUUCUGAAACUUCCAGUAAACCAUAGGGCUGCAUUUCUGUACAAAAAAAAAAAAAAAAUUGCAACCAAUAAUAAUGCUUGAGACUGUAUUGGAUGAAACCAUGCAAAUAAAAUUAUAUAAGCUGAACUAGUAUGUUUGGCAGGCACUGUAGAAGGGCUGUCCAAAAUGUAGUUUUCAGCCAUUUUCACGUCCUUUCUGAAAGAAACUACUGCAAACACUCAGUCUUCCCUGACUUACAGCCGUGUUACAAAGUUUUGUUUAAAGAGGUGUAGUAGGAAGUUGUGGAGGGUCCUUGUAGGAAAAAGGCCUUGAAGUUCUGCCCCUUCCCUGUCACCUGAAAAUGCUAACUCGCUGGGUGUCCUACAUCUCAGAUGCAUGUGUGUACAUAGAAAAAGUAUGCUAUGUAAAUACAGAUAAGCUCUAUACGCCUCUGUACAUGCAGGGAUAUAUACACAUUGUUACUGGUCUUGGUUCAACAAAAUUGAGUCAAAGAUGGAUGGAUCUGAAAUACUUUGAGGGUCCACUUCAUUCCUUUCUAUAAUGUUUUACCAUUGAGUUCCCCCCAUCCAUUUAUUCAAAGAGGUCUGUGCCUGUGUCAUUGGUGUCUUCAAGCCUUUUGAGCCUGGUAACGACAAAGUCAUGGACCAAAGCGUCCCUGGGUACUUUGCAGGUGACUGCCUUGUGAAGACAGGGUGCAUCUUACUCUGUGUCCAGGAACGGAACCCAGAGACCGGCACCACCAACUGGAAGAGGGACAGGGAUGCAAUAGGACGAUCCUGGCAGAGCCUACAGGUGAUGUUUUUCCAGUGAUUUUUAAGAAAUAGACAUUUCUCCAAAGAAGACACCUAGAUGGCCAACAGACACAUGAAAAGGUACUCAGCAUCCCUCAUCAUCAGGGAAAUGCAAAGCAAAACCACAGCGUGUUAUCACCUCCCACCUGUCAGAAUGGCUAAAAUCAGCGACACAGAAAACAACAGGUGUUGGCGAGGAUGCAGAGAAAGGGGAACCCUCGUGCACUGUUGGUGAGAAUGGGGAGCUGGUGCAGCCACUCUGGAAAACAGCAUGGAGGUUCCUCAGAAAGUUCAGAGAAUUCCCAGUGGAUCCAGCAAUUCCGCUCCUGGGUGUUUACCCAAAGAAAAUAAGAACCCUAAUGUGUGAAGAGAUAUAUGCACCCCUGUGUUUACAGCAGCAGUGUUGACAGCAGCUAGGAUUCGGAAGCAGCCCAGGUGUCUAAGGAUGGUGACUGGAUAGAUAUGUUGCGUGUGUGUGUGUGUGUGUGUGUGUGUGUGUGUGUGUGUAUACAGACAGAAUGGGCUAUUACCCAGCCAGGAUCUACAGGGUAUUUAUGCCAAGUGAAAUAAAUCAGAGAGACAAAGACAAACGUAAUAUGAUUUCACUUACACAUGGAAUCCUAAAUACAAAUAAAAAAACAAAAAACAAAAAAAAAACCACCAGUAAUAGUCCCAUAAAUAGAACUGGUGGUUGCUAGAAGGGAGAGAGGGAGGAGAUGGGUAAAAUGGGGAAGGAGAGUAGGGGGCAUGGGCCUUCAGUUAUAGAAUAGAUCAUGGGAUGGGAGGCACAGUUAAGAGUAUUAUAAUAGGGUCAUAUAGUCAUAUGGUCACAGAUGGUAGCUACAACUGGAAUGAGCAUUAGCACAACACACAGACAAAUUGAAUCACUAUGUCGUAUACCUGAAUGUAACCCAGAGUGUCAACUAUAGCAAAAAAGAAUAAUAAUUUGUAAUGGCACAAGUGUGUUUCCAUUAUUUUACGUUUGUGAUAAAGAUCCACAGGAAUGAGCCGUUUUAAUAAAAUAUGUAAAUAAGUAGAGAAAAUCCUCAUGGAACCUCUAAUGCACAGUUUUCUAUUAUCACUAGACGGUAUGUAGUGAAUAGGUUUAACAUUCACAUUGGAAGUAUGUUAACGUCUGUGUGUUUUUGCAAAUUGCUACGUUCUUGUUUUUGUUAUGCGUCGAUCCAGCCACUUCUUUCAAACAGUGGAGUAUGCCUACGGAUCAAAGUCCUUUUCCGGGUUUUUAAUGUUAUGGAAAAGAACACAUUGUCAGUUCCUUUUUGUGUCCAUAUGAAAGCAAUUAUUAUGGCUUUAUUUAUAUGAGAAAGCUUGUGCAAGAGCAGGGGAGAGGGACCAAGGGAGACAGAGAAACACUCCCUGCUCAUAAUGGAAACCAGUUCCAGCUAGAUUCCAGGACCCUAGGACCAUGACCUGAGCCACCCCGGUGCCCCUUUAUGAAAGCAUUUCUUUCAGGCACUUAGCUCCAUGCUUUUUGUAAGAACAACACUCAGAUGUCCAACAAAAGUACAGUCUCCCCGAUUUAUCAAUUUUAGUCUAAGGCCCAAGAGUGGAGUUUUUGGUUUCCAUGGCUAGCCAGCAGAAGACUUGAGAUCUAACUCAGUUUGCCCAAAAAACACAGGACUGAACCUCCUGCUUUUAUGCUUAAGAGUGUUGCUGAGUACUGUGACAAGAGGUUUUCUACUUUUGAAAAUGCAAAAUUGGGGCGCCUGGGUGGCUCAGUGGGUUAAGCCGCUGCCUUCAGCUCAGGUCAUGAUCUCAGGGUCCUGGGAUCGAGUCCCGAAUCGGGCUCUCUGCUCAGCAGGGAGCCUGCUUCCUCCUCUCUCUCUGCCUACCUC
Long non-coding RNA from Mustela lutreola (European mink), 4854 nucleotides. RefSeq lists it as uncharacterized. The record is from RefSeq and is a predicted model, not a curated record. The transcript is spliced from 4 exons. NCBI's taxonomy places the organism in Eukaryota, Metazoa, Chordata, Mammalia, Carnivora, Mustelidae.